This is a long non-coding RNA of Impatiens glandulifera, 530 nucleotides long. RefSeq lists it as uncharacterized. The transcript has 5 exons. Lineage: Eukaryota; Viridiplantae; Streptophyta; Magnoliopsida; Ericales; Balsaminaceae. The record is from RefSeq and is a predicted model, not a curated record.
AUUAAGUAUAUAUUGUGCCUGGUUAGCCGCUGUGAUUCAAAGUUUAUUGAUUAUAGCAUCCCGUAAACAUUAUACUGUUGAUGUCGUCGUGGCUUGGUAUACAGUUAAUUUGAUGAUAUUCUUUUUAGACCAUACAUUGCCAGAACUGUCUGAUCGAACCGGAGCUGCAGCAUUCUUACUGCCGGUUAACAAAGAUAACAAGGAUAAAGAAGAGAAUCACAAGCUUCUUAAUGGAAGCUCUGGAGAAUCUUUGGAUAGGAGAUCGAGAAAUCCAGUUAAUAGUAAGAUUGUUGAAAAUGGAAACACGGGUCAUGGCGAUAUGGGGGAUGAAUGACGACAAAUAAGCUAAGGUAAUUAAUUUUCGAUUAGCCAAUUGUCUCGGGUUUUUCAUUAGAUUUAUAGCCUUAUGAGUAGUAGUAUGUAGUAAACUUUUGGAAUUUUGAGUUUCUUUCUAUUAUGGAUUUGCCAAGCUUCUAUUGAUUAUGUUCUUCUAGUUUCAUUUUUUUGGUCAAAUGACAUAAAUUUUGUUG